GGCGGUGUAGCUCAGCUGGCUAGAGCGUACGGUUCAUACCCGUGAGGUCGGGAGUUCGAUUCUCCCUGCCGCCA
Molecule: transfer RNA, 74 nt
Filed under: Novibacillus thermophilus
Lineage: Bacteria; Bacillati; Bacillota; Bacilli; Caryophanales; Thermoactinomycetaceae
Rfam family: tRNA
About the family: Transfer RNA (tRNA) molecules are approximately 80 nucleotides in length. Their secondary structure includes four short double-helical elements and three loops (D, anti-codon, and T loops).
Source: Rfam by way of RNAcentral